This 492-nucleotide ribosomal RNA is filed under the name uncultured bacterium. RNAcentral's name for it is "partial 16S ribosomal RNA". It matches the Rfam family "Bacterial small subunit ribosomal RNA", at positions 29 to 507 of the family's 1533-position model. The record is from RNAcentral.
AGUGAACGCUGGCGGUAGGCCUAACACAUGCAAGUCGAACGGCAGCACAGUAAGAGCUUGCUCUUACGGGUGGCGAGUGGCGGACGGGUGAGGAAUACAUCGGAAUCUACUUUUUCGUGGGGGAUAACGUAGGGAAACUUACGCUAAUACCGCAUACGACCUACGGGUGAAAGCAGGGGAUCUUCGGACCUUGCGCGAUUGAAUGAGCCGAUGUCGGAUUAGCUAGUUGGCGGGGUAAAGGCCCACCAAGGCGACGAUCCGUAGCUGGUCUGAGAGGAUGAUCAGCCACACUGGAACUGAGACACGGUCCAGCCUCCUACGGGAGGCAGCAGUGGGGAAUAUUGGACAAUGGGCGCAAGCCUGAUCCAGCCAUACCGCGUGGGUGAAGAAGGCCUUCGGGUUGUAAAGCCCUUUUGUUGGGAAAGAAAAGCAGCAGGUUAAUACCGCGCUGUUCUGACGGUACCCGAAGAAUAAGCACCGGCUGACUUCGUG